ACUCCCGGAAGCCCCGCCCACCCACCGUAGUCAGACCAGGAGGAAUAGAGGCACUGCGAUGCGUCGGGACUGAAGAGGACGUCGAGGAUGGCCCAGCCCACGUCGCGACCCCGCCAGCAGCGCAGCGCCCGCAGCCCCGACCCCCGGCACGAGUAGACACGCAGCGUCUGGUCUGCAGCACCAAACAACCCAAAUCCCCGCGUUUCAACCCAAAAUUCGGGCUCAGAAGGUGAGAAAACCCAAAGCGUCUGGUCUGCAGCACCAAACAACCCAAAUCCCGACAUUUCAGCCCAAAAUCUGGGCUCACAACGCGAUGAAACCCUGAGGAUCUGAUAUGGGGGGGAAAAGGACCAAAUUUCCUGCAUUUCAGCCCAAAAUCGACCCAUUUCAGCCCAAAAUCUGGGCUCAGAAGGUGAGAAAACCCAAAGCGUCUGGUCUGCAGCACCAAACAACCCAAAUCCCCACGUUUCAACCCAAAAUUUGGGCUCAGAAGGUGAGAAAACCCAAAGCGUCUGGUCUGCAGCACCAGGUAACGAAAUUUCUGGCAUUUCAGCCCAAAAUCGACCCAUUUCAGCCCAAAAUCUGGGCUCCCAAUGCAAGGAAAACAUCAGCAUCUGGUUUGCAGCACCAAACAACCCAAAUCCCCACGUUUCAACCCAAAAUCUGGGCUCAGAAGGUGAGAAAACCCAAAGCGUCUGGUCUGCAGCACCAAACAACCCAAAUCCCCGCGUUUCAACCCAAAAUUUGGGCUCAGAAGGAGGAAACCCGCAGCGUCUGGUCUGCAGCACCAAACAACCCAAAUCCCCACGUUUCAACCCAAAAUCUGGGCUCAGAAGGUGAGAAAACCCAAAGCGUCUGGUCUGCAGCACCAGGUAAUGAAAUUUCUGGCAUUUCAGCCCAAAAUCGACCCAUUUCAGCCCAAAAUCUGGGCUCAGAACGCGAGGAAACCCUGAGGAUCUGAUAUGGGGGGAAAAAUAACCAAAUUUCCUGCAUUUCAGCCCAAAAUCGACCCAUUUCAGCCCAAAAUUUGGGCUCACAAUGCGAGGAAACCCUGAGGAUCUGAUAUGGGGCGAAAAAGAACCAAAUUUCCUGCAUUUAAGCCCAAAAUCGACCCAUUUCAGCCCAAAAUUUGGGCUCCCAACGCAAGGAAACCCAAAGCAUCUGGUUUGCAGCACCAAAGAACCAAAAUCCCCACGUUUCUGCCCAAAAUUCGAGCUCAAAACGCGAGGAAACUCUGAGGAUCUGAUAUGGGGCGAAAAAGAACCAAAUUUCCUGCAUUUCAGCCCAAAAUCGACCCAUUUCAACCCAAAAUCUGGGCUCACAACGCGAGGAAAUCCAAAGCGUCUGGUUUGCAGCACCAAAGAACCAAAAUCCCCACGUUUCAACCCAAAAUCUGGGCUCAGAAGGUGAGAAAACCCAAAGCGUCUGGUCUGCAGCACCAAACAACCAAAAUUGACCCAUUUCAGCCCAAAAUCUGGGCUCACAACAAAAGGAAACCCAAAGCAUCUGGUUUGCAGCACCAAAGAACCAAAAUCCCCACGUUUCUGCCCAAAAUUCGAGCUCAAAACGCGAGGAAACUCUGAGGAUCUGAUAUGGGGCGAAAAAGAACCAAAUUUCCUGCAUUUCAGCCCAAAAUCGACCCAUUUCAGCCCAAAAUCUGGGCUCACAACGUGAGACAAUCCGCAGCAUCUGGUCUGCAGCACCAAACAACCAAAAUCCCCACGUUUCAA
This 1730-nucleotide long non-coding RNA is filed under the name Phasianus colchicus (ring-necked pheasant). RNAcentral's name for it is "lncRNA (ENSPCLG00000016637.1)". Lineage: Eukaryota; Metazoa; Chordata; Aves; Galliformes; Phasianidae. The record is from RNAcentral.